UUAUCAUUAAUCCCCAAAAUUAAUAUUUUAAUUAAACUACCUCUUG
RNAcentral lists this transfer RNA (46 nucleotides) under Ceratitidini n. sp. 1195. Its description in RNAcentral is "tRNA-Pro". Lineage: Eukaryota; Metazoa; Arthropoda; Insecta; Diptera; Tephritidae. The record is from RNAcentral.